UGUGCACUUACAGAUCCCUUCCUAAGAGUUCAACCUGAGGGUCGAGAAGGAGAGACAUUCACUGUGACCUCAUCUGGAAAGGGAAUUGAAAUCUGCAUUGUCGGUAUCUGUCUGCAUUGCAAAUCAGCCAUCCAGUCAACUGCAGUUAUAUAGGGCCUUGGUAAGACCACAUGUGGAGUAUUCUGUGCAGUUUUUGCUUUCUAACAAGGGUUCCAGCAUCCAUACUAUUUUACUUCCAUCUUAUGCUGAUAUUUUCUGACAAAAUCUAUAUCCUCCCUCAAGUUUGGUGAUAUUUCUGACCUCAAUGUUCACACGAUGUUGCCUGAAACACAUUUCAUCGUACUCAUUAGAUGUUUUGGAGUGGCAACGAGAGUUCACUAGAGUUUAAAAGAAUGAGAAGCAAUUUCCUUCUAAAGAUUUCCAGCAAACUCCAGUUCUUUGCUUUAUUUUAGUGAAUGUCACCAACUGUUCUCUGGACAAUUAGGGAAGGGCAAUAAAUACUUACCGAACCAAUGAAGUCCACAUCCUGUGAAUGACAUAAAAGAAAGUUUGGAAAAGCCUGAACAAGGGCUUGAUGAUUUCUCUCAAAGAGAAUAUCAAUGAAAUUUCAGUUAACAGAAUGGAAAUAUUUUCCUCAAAGCCUUUGGAGUAAUAUAGUUACUGCAGUGAACUGCAUAGCUGGGGGUUCCUGAGUUGAGUGUAGGUCCAACAUGGAACUCAGCAUCGGUGCAGGUGUUAUUGGUCAGCCGGUUCUGGGUUCAGGAAUCAUGAUGGAGGCAAUGGAAUGAAGUUGGACUCUUUUUCAGCUAUACCUUUUUAUGCUUAAACUAUUCAAAAUGGUGUCAGGCUGUGGCAACAGUUGAAGCUUUUCACUGUAUUUUAUUAUGUUGUUCAUUGUGACAGUACGAGUGACAAUAA
This is a long non-coding RNA of Hemiscyllium ocellatum (epaulette shark), 918 nucleotides long. RefSeq lists it as uncharacterized. The transcript is spliced from 4 exons. NCBI's taxonomy places the organism in Eukaryota, Metazoa, Chordata, Chondrichthyes, Orectolobiformes, Hemiscylliidae. The record is from RefSeq and is a predicted model, not a curated record.